Molecule: ribosomal RNA, 253 nt
Filed under: uncultured bacterium
Lineage: Bacteria
Description: partial 16S ribosomal RNA
Rfam family: Bacterial small subunit ribosomal RNA
Source: RNAcentral
UACGGAGGGUGCAAGCGUUGUCCGGAUUUAUUGGGUUUAAAGGGUGCGUAGGCGGCCCGUUAAGUCAGUGGUGAAAGCCUCCAGCUCAACUGGAGAACUGCCAUUGAUACUGACGGGCUUGAGUACAGACGAGGUAGGCGGAAUUGAUUGUGUAGCGGUGAAAUGCAUAGAUACAAUCAAGAACUCCGAUUGCGUAGGCAGCUUACUAGGCUGUAACUGACGCUGAGGCACGAAAGCGUGGGGAGCGAACAGG